CUUGGCUCAGGAUGAACGCUAGCGACAGGCCUAACACAUGCAAGUCGAGGGGCAGCACAAGGAGCAAUCUGAGGUGGCGACCGGCGGCACGGGUGAGUAACACGUAUGCAACCUGCCUGUAAGCGGGGAAUAACCCGUUGAAAGACGGACUAAUACCGCAUAAUACUAAAUUACUGCAUGGUAAUUUAUUUAAACAUUUAUGGCUUACAGAUGGGCAUGCGCAUGAUUAGCUAGUUGGAGAGGUAACGGCUCCCCAAGGCAACGAUCAUUAGGGGUUCUGAGAGGAAGGUCCCCCACACUGGUACUGAGACACGGACCAGACUCCUACGGGAGGCAGCAGUGAGGAAUAUUGGUCAAUGGACGAGAGUCUGAACCAGCCAAGUCGCGUGCAGGAAGAAUUGUCCUAUGGACUGUAAACUGCUUUUGCAGGGGAAUAAAGUGCAUCACGUGUGAUGUUUUGUAUGUACUCUGCGAAUAAGGAUCGGCUAACUCCGUGCCAGCCGCCGC
Molecule: ribosomal RNA, 507 nt
Filed under: uncultured bacterium
Lineage: Bacteria
Description: bacterial SSU rRNA
Rfam family: Bacterial small subunit ribosomal RNA
Source: RNAcentral